RNA transcript from Sinocyclocheilus rhinocerous, 1247 nucleotides. It is a transcript of the gene named chromosome 20 C2orf81 homolog, with no coding region annotated. Lineage: Eukaryota; Metazoa; Chordata; Actinopteri; Cypriniformes; Cyprinidae. The transcript has 5 exons. The record is from RefSeq and is a predicted model, not a curated record.
CCCCCGCAGAACCCUUACGUCAGAGGCGUCUGGCUGCUUGGCAACCAGAUCAGAAGCCAACAACACAAGUAGAACAUAUCAUAUACGGGUCCCAUGGUUAUUUUAAUUUAUUUAUUCCCCCCCCCCGGGAGGUGAAGACCAUGCGUCGCUCAGCUGCCAAAUCACGGGGCGAUAAAAGCCGCACUGAUUCUGUCCCAGGUAAUGCUGCUUCGGUCCAGCCUGUUGAGACCGUGGACAUUGUCCCAGGCCGCCUUACAGAGUCCACCUGGACCAGCAUGCUCUCCCAGGAGGAGGGUGAGGAGGUGGUGGUGGAUAUCAUAGCAGAACUGAUGGAAGAAGUGAUGGACAGAUGCUAUCAGGUGUAUCUGCAAAGACAGUUGAUACCCUUCUCUGUGUGGUGGGCACAAAAUAACCUGGUGGAGACGCUAGAAUGUCUGAUCCUGAGGAGAGAUGAAGGGGAUGAUUCAGAACAUGAACUCUUUUGGCAAGAGGAUCAAGAGCCCCAGCCCUGUGCGAUUGAUUCUUGGGCUGAAGGAUCUGUACCUGUGCUUCAUGCUGCUCUGGAAUAGCACAAGGUCUGACAUCCCAAACAGCCUGAAGUGAGAAGACUGGUGGACCGGACAGAGAACUACUCCACCUUCAACCUGCUACCGCUCAAUGCCAAUAGAGUGAUGAUACCGAAUUAUUCACGAAAACUAAAGAAAAUCUGACUUCCUUAAAACUCAGUCCAAACAUAAGCAAAGGAACUCAAAAGAAGCAAGUCUCUGAUCCUCUUACGGUAUAAUUGCCUCUAUUGCUUGCCAAGUUUAGUCCUAAUUCACUUAAGAACUAAAAAUAUAAUUUCACGGGUGUCUCAGCCUCAAAACACUGACUCAAACACAGUUUGGGCCUGAGGUGAGGAAACAGUGAUGCCAUGAGCUCCAAAAACUCAUGAACUGAUGUUGUAGCCCUUAGGCCACAGCUGGUAACAGACCAGAACAGAGUGAACCAAGGCUGAAAAAAAAAAAUCUUUAAAAAGUCAUCUUACCCUACUAUAAAAUAUGAAAAAAUAAAUUAAUAACAUGUACUGGAGCAUCCCUCUGCAAACAAUGUAAAGACAUUUCUUACUGCACUAUUUUGUAUUGAGUAAAUCAGUGCCUUGCCUGCAUUUUUCUGUGACUGUUGUGGCAGUAAUAAACAUUUAGACCUAAUUCAUCUUCGACAUCUGUCUUUUAUUCAUACCUGCAAUUCAAUGAAUAAUUUAAUGA